UUUGGACGUAAUCCCGUUACAGCAACAAAGGGCCUUGUAUGGAGGACAAGGACCCGUCUCUUCUUCCUACGGAUCAUUCACAGACCAUUCCUCUGCACCUCCCCGAAGAACACGAAAAAGAGAUGGAACCUUUGCUGAUGAAAGGCUGCCGGACUUCCGGUGGCGCGGGACAAGGGAAGUUGAAGCCGGCGGCGGCCUGGAGACUGGGAGAUAUCUCCGAGAUCAUUUCAGUUUGGUGCAUGAAAACAGCAAUCGCCCUCGCGUGCGUCUAUCUUGUUUUCCUUUCUUAUGUCGCGGUGACAUACACACCUAGCUGGGCGGAGAAGCUGCGGUUGUCACCACUGUUCCUUUUUGCGACAAUUGUCCUGUUGUUUGGAGCACUCAUGAUCCGAGACAAGCAAGAUGGAUGUGGGAGGAACACACAGUGUGUUCUCAUGGAAUAUCAACCUCGAUUAUAGCGUGUUCUGCUUGGAACUCUCUCUCUCUUUCUCAUUACAAGUGUACUCUCAUGGUACAAACUCAUGUUGGUAGCAGAAGGAUGUAAUAUGUAAAAGGAUGAGAAGCACCGUCCUUAUAUUUCUUUUGUGUACUCUUGUUGGUAGCAGAAGGAUGUGAUAUGUAAAAGGAUGAGAAGCACCGUCCUUAUAUUUCUUUUGUGUACUCUGGUUGUAAAAUCUUGUGUACUCACAAGAUUGUGUAACGUAUGAAUCACGACAACAAGUACGCAUAAUAAAUGGCAUAAUACUUCAAUGCUCGAAUGCA
Long non-coding RNA from Triticum dicoccoides, 762 nucleotides. RefSeq lists it as uncharacterized. Lineage: Eukaryota; Viridiplantae; Streptophyta; Magnoliopsida; Poales; Poaceae. The record is from RefSeq and is a predicted model, not a curated record. The transcript has 3 exons.